CGUAGGUGGCAAGCGUUGUCCGGAUUUACUGGGCGUAAAGAGCGCGCAGGCGGUCGGAUCAGUCGAAUGUGAAAGCCCCCGGCUCAACUGGGGAGGGUCAUUCGAUACUGUUCGACUCGAAGGCAGGAGAGGGAAGCGGAAUUCCCGGUGUAGUGGUGAAAUGCGUAGAUAUCGGGAGGAACACCAGUGGCGAAGGCGGCUUUCUGGCCUGUUCUUGACGCUGAGGCGCGAAAGCUAGGGGAGCGAACGGGAUUAGAUACCCCGGUAGUCCUAGCCGUAAACGAUGGACACUAGGUGUUGGUGGUAUCAACCCCACCAGUGCCGUAGCUAACGCAUUAAGUGUCCCGCCUGGGGAGUACGGCCGCAAGGCUA
RNAcentral lists this ribosomal RNA (372 nucleotides) under uncultured organism. RNAcentral's name for it is "bacterial SSU rRNA". It matches the Rfam family "Bacterial small subunit ribosomal RNA", at positions 526 to 896 of the family's 1533-position model. The record is from RNAcentral.